UGAGGAACCCGAAAGAUCGAAUGGGGAGAUUCAGCGUCAGCGGCGCUGGCUCGGCCGAGUGAGCGAUGUUGCCGACUACGGUUGGCGACACGUUAUCACUCAUGCCUUGUCCGGUGUCGUCGUCGUGCACUUCUCCUCUAGUAGAACGUCGCGACCCGUUGGGUGCCGGUCCUACGGUCCGAGCGGUAGACUGUCGCGUCGCUUCGGCGCACGCGUCAGACCCUCGGUCGCCCGGCCGGCUGCCCGGCGGUCGAACUUAUAAGGUAUCUUGCCGCAAUUAUCGAACUGCGUCGGGCCCGCCGCAAGCGCGGUCAGUGUCUCGGAGGUACGGACCCGGUGCCGUCCCCGAGCCUGACCAGCUGUUGGCAGGCGGAGUCCUCUGACGGGCAAUACACAAUAAUACCGGUCUGCGACGCUACUGCUUUGGGUACUCUCAGGACCCGUCUUGAAACACGGACCAAGGAGUCUAACAUGUGCGCGAGUCAUUGGGACUGCAAAGCCUAAAGGCGUAAUGAAAGUGAAGGUCGACCUCGCGUCGACCGAGGGAGGAUGGGCCGCGUUAAGACGCGGCUCCGCACUCCCGGGGCGUCUCGUUCUCAUUGCGAGAAGAGGCGCACCCAGAGCGUACACGUUGGGACCCGAAAGAUGGUGAACUAUGCCUGGUCAGGACGAAGUCAGGGGAAACCCUGAUGGAGGUCCGUAGCGAUUCUGACGUGCAAAUCGAUCGUCGGAACUGGGUAUAGG
Molecule: ribosomal RNA, 744 nt
Filed under: Vespa crabro (European hornet)
Lineage: Eukaryota; Metazoa; Arthropoda; Insecta; Hymenoptera; Vespidae
Also listed under: 2 other names
Description: eukaryotic LSU rRNA
Rfam family: Eukaryotic large subunit ribosomal RNA
Source: RNAcentral